This is a long non-coding RNA of Dreissena polymorpha, 1383 nucleotides long. RefSeq lists it as uncharacterized. The record is from RefSeq and is a predicted model, not a curated record. The transcript has 3 exons. NCBI's taxonomy places the organism in Eukaryota, Metazoa, Mollusca, Bivalvia, Myida, Dreissenidae.
CUGUCGAAUUUUUCAAAAUGGCGCUGACGAUGAGUGGGAAAUCAUUGUGCGAAAUAACUCGUUUAGUGUUAAUAAUACGUGCAUUUUACGGUUGAUAAAUGAUCGGAUAAAUCAAAAGAAAGAUAUCAACUUGAUGUUUGGCAUGCAUGUGUAUCUCAUGGAGCUGCACAUUUUGAGUGAUGAAAGGUCAAGGUCAUCCUUCAAGGUCAAAGGUCAAAUGUAUUUCUUCAAACGGUCGCAGAAAGGGGCAUUAUGUUUCUGACAAACACAUCUCUUGUUCAUUGUUGAAUUGAGCAGUGAAAGGAAUUAACAGGAGACAGAGAGAAGUAAGGACAUGUUUAUGGACAUGCUGGCCUCACCCUAUUCCCAGUAUGCAGAGUAAAUCAGCACCACAGCCAGCAAGGAUGGAUUUCCUCUCAGGGUAAAUAUGGAUUAAUUGCAUGUGCUUAAAGUGUCAUCCUGUGCAGUAUGCACAGGCUUAUCUUUGCCGUCACAUUCUGGCUAGACUGCAUUUUUGUAUUGAAGAGACUUCUUUGAAUCGAAAAUUCCAUAAGCCAAAGUUGUGUCCCUGAUUAGCCUGUACUCUAGACUCAAUGGAAUUAACGGAAUUUCCACUUUGACAUGCUGUCAUUAAUUACCACAAUAUUUGCAUCCUUUUCUGCAGAAACAUUAUACAAUGCUAUCAUGACUAUGUUAAAAGUUGUUUUGUACAGAUGUACAGAUGUACAUAUUAAUGUCUUCCCUAUAAACAUUGGCAUAUUUGCAUACACUGUUUAUUUGAUGCAAAAUUCAUAUAAAUAAGGGUAUAAGAUUAGUAACAAAAAAAUAAGUUUAUUAUUGUAAAAAUGAAAAAAAUGCAAGAUUUAUAGUUUAAGAUUUGCUAAAGAAAGUGAAAGUGUUACGUUGAAGAUUAAACAAGAUUGAAAUAUGCGUGAAUAUUAUUUGAAGAAGGGUAAAAAAAGUGUAACAUUCAUAACAUUAUGUGGUUGUUUACAAAGAAACAGUGCUGAACAAAAUGGGACUUUGAUAAGGAAGAAAGCAAAUUGUGAUGCAUGAUUCUAAAAUGUCAAUCAAUGCAUGAUUACAAAAUGUCACAUCCAAUUUCCUUGGAUUUUGUGUAAUCUCAUUCAUACAGCACUCUUGGUCUUGAACUUGCUGCAUUUUUGGCAUUAUCCACAAUUAAUGCAAGCAUUGUCAUUGGCGUUGAGUUUGAAAUGUAACUGGUUUGAGGCAAGAACAUUAUGACCAUUUGUCCAUUUUCAAAGAAAUGUAAGUUUCUUUGAAGGUAUAAAAACAAAUGGAAAACUGAAAUUGUUAACAGGAUUUGUUUAUUAGGCCAAACAAAAAAAUAGUCUUGGUUCAGGGAACAUGGCCAGAAAAAUG